AGUGAACGCUGGCGGUAUGCCUAAUACAUGCAAGUCGAACGGAAGCACAGUAAGCUUGCUCCCCUACGGGUAGCGACUGGCGGGUGGGUAACGCGUGCAUCAGAAUCCUCUUAUUCUUGGGUGAUAACGUGGGACAACAUACGAUACUGCCGCAUAUAUUCUACCGCUGGGAUCAAUAGUUAUUGAGGCUUUGGCUGUCUCUUUUAGACGAAUCCGCGCCGCAUUAGCUAGUUGGUAAGGUAACGGCUUACCAAGGCAACGAUGCGUAGCCGAGCUGAGAGGGUGAUCGGCCACACUGGAACUGAGACACGGUCCAGACUCCUACGGGAGGCAGCAGUAGGGAAUCUUCGACAAUGGGCGAAAGCCUGACCGAGCAACACCGCGUGGGUGAUGAAGGCCUUCGGGUCGUAAAGCCCUGUUGUUGGGAAAGAAAAGCAGCGGGAGUAACCCUGCCUGUUCUGACGGUACCCAAAGAAUAAGCAACGGCUAACUUCGUG
Molecule: ribosomal RNA, 497 nt
Filed under: uncultured bacterium
Lineage: Bacteria
Description: partial 16S ribosomal RNA
Rfam family: Bacterial small subunit ribosomal RNA
Source: RNAcentral